UUAGAUUUUAUUUAUUAAUUAUUAAUAUUAAAUUUUAAAAUAUUAGAAAUAACUAUAAAUUUAAGUGUUUUAGUAUUGUUUAAAGAAAAAAUAAUUUUAAUAAUAGUGUAAUAGUAUUGUGAAAGAAAAUUGAAAUAAUUUGAAAAAUUUUUAUUAUAAAAGAAAAUUUAAUUUAUUGUACCUUGUGUAUCAGCGUUUAUUAAAUAAAAAAUAAAUAUUUAUUUUUCUCGAUUUUAAAAGAGUUAAUAUAAUAUAUAAGUUAAUGUGACAAAAUUAUUUAAAAUAUUAUAUUAGAAAUGAAAUGUUAUUCGUUUUUAAAGGUAUCUAGUUUUUCAAGAAAUAAAUUUAAUUUAGAAAUUAUAAAUUUAUUUAAUUAUUUAAAAAAUUAAAUAAUUUAUAAUUUUAAUAUUUUAUGGGAUAAGCUAUAAAAUAAAUUUUUAAAAAUAAUAAAUAAAUUUAAUAAAUAUAUGCUUAGAAUUAGCAAUUAUUAAAAAAUUUGUUAUAAUUUAUUUUAUAAAUUAAAUUAUUUAUUAAAUUUUAAUUAUUUAUUGAAAUAUUAAUUUUAAUUAAUAAAAUUAAGAAAUAAUGAUAGAAUUAGUAUAUUUUUAUGUAAAAAUAAAUUUUAAUGAUAAGUUUAAAUAAAGAAUUCGGCAAAAAUAAUGUUCGCCUGUUUAACAAAAACAUGUCUUUUUGAAUUAAAUAUAAAGUCUAACCUGCCCACUGAAAAUUUUUAAAUGGCCGCAGUAUUCUGACUGUGCAAAGGUAGCAUAAUCAUUAGUCUUUUAAUUGAAGGCUGGAAUGAAUGGUUGGACGAAAUAUUAACUGUUUCAUUUAAAUUUUUUAUAGAAUUUUAUUUUUUAGUCAAAAAGCUAAAAUAAAUUUAAAAGACGAGAAGACCCUAUAAAUCUUUAUAUUUUAUUUAUUUUAAUUAUAAAGAUUAUUUUAAUUUUAAUAAAAUAAAAUAUUUUAUUGGGGUGAUAUUAAAAUUUAAAAAACUUUUAAUUUAUAAAAACAUUAAUUUAUGAAUUGUUGAUCCAUUAAUAAUGAUUAAAAAAUUAAGUUACUUUAGGGAUAACAGCGUAAUUUUUUUGGAGAGUUCAUAUCGAUAAAAAAGAUUGCGACCUCGAUGUUGGAUUAAGAUAUAAUUUUGGGUGUAGCCGUUCAAAUUUUAAGUCUGUUCGACUUUUAAAUUCUUACAUGAUCUGAGUUCAAACCGGUGUAAGCCAGGUUGGUUUCUAUCUUUAAAAAAUUAUAAUAUUUUAGUACGAAAGGACCAAAUAUUAGAAUAAUUGUAUUUUUUAUUAUGAAUAUUAUUAAUAUAA
This 1322-nucleotide ribosomal RNA is filed under the name Drosophila ananassae. Its description in RNAcentral is "large subunit ribosomal RNA". The stretch from base 1071 to 1230 matches the Rfam family "Archaeal large subunit ribosomal RNA", at positions 2544 to 2703 of the family's 2987-position model. Lineage: Eukaryota; Metazoa; Arthropoda; Insecta; Diptera; Drosophilidae. The record is from RNAcentral.